GUCGAGCGGCAAGGUCUUCGGACCCUAGAGCGGCGCACGGGUGAGUAACGCGUACGCAAUCUGCCCUUCAGUGAGGAAUAGCCCUGGGAAACUGGGAUUAAUACCUCAUAAUAUUAUUUGUUCGCAUGGAUGAAUAAUUAAAGUUCUGGCGCUGAAGGAUGAGCGCGCGUCUGAUUAGCUAGUUGGUAGGGUAACGGCCUACCAAGGCUACGAUCAGUAGGGGGCGUGAGAGCGUGACCCCCCACACGGGUACUGAGACACGGACCCGACUCCUACGGGAGGCAGCAGUAAGGAAUAUUGGGCAAUGGAGGCAACUCUGACCCAGCCAUCCCGCGUGAAGGAUUAAGGCCCUAUGGGUUGUAAACUUCUUUUGUUUGGGAAGAAAUCUGGACAUUUAUGUGCAGUUGACGGUACCUUACGAAUAAGCACCGGCUAACUCCGUGCCAGCAGCCGCGGUAAUACGGAGGGUGCAAGCGUUAUCCGGAAUCACUGGGUUUAAAGGGUGCGUAGGCGGUUUGAUAAGUCAGAGGUGAAAGCUAGCAGCUUAACUGUUAAAUUGCCUUUGAUACUGUCAGACUUGAAUCAAGUUGAGGUGGGCGGAAUGUGACAUGUAGCGGUGAAAUGCAUAGAUAUGUCAUAGAACACCAAUUGCGUAGGCAGCUUGCUGGGCUUGAAUUGACGCUGAGGCACGAAAGCGUGG
This 700-nucleotide ribosomal RNA is filed under the name uncultured Haliscomenobacter sp. RNAcentral's name for it is "bacterial SSU rRNA". It matches the Rfam family "Bacterial small subunit ribosomal RNA", at positions 61 to 764 of the family's 1533-position model. Lineage: Bacteria; Pseudomonadati; Bacteroidota; Saprospiria; Saprospirales; Haliscomenobacteraceae. The record is from RNAcentral.